Molecule: small RNA, 445 nt
Filed under: Pongo abelii (Sumatran orangutan)
Lineage: Eukaryota; Metazoa; Chordata; Mammalia; Primates; Hominidae
Description: processed transcript
Source: RNAcentral
ACACACACACACACACCCCUACCCCACCUCUCCUGCAGACACUAUAGUCGCCUGCUGAAUAUAUAAUCUAUAGCUGACGUUCCUCAGGGAGUGAUUCGAGUGCAAGCUCCCCAUCUUUCGAAAGUUUCCAUGGCAAUACAGCUAACUGAAGAACUAAAAGCCAGUGAUGUACUUGCCAGGUUUCUCAGCCAAGAAAGUGGGAUUGCCCAGACUCUCAAGAAAGGAGAAGUUUUUUUGUAUGAAAUUGGAGGAAAUAUUGGGGAACGCUGCCUUGAUGAUGACACUUAUAUGAAGGAUUUAUAUCAGCUUAACCCAAAUGCUGAGUGGGUUAUAAAGUCAAAGCCGUUGUAGAAGACUUAACAAGCUGCAGAUAACCAUGUGGACUUCUGUCAUAGUUCUUGCUGAGUCAAGAGUGUAAAUAAAAGAAAUGGCAGGACUCUUAUUA